UAUUAAAAAUUUUAUCUAUUUGUAUUGUUAAAAACAUGCAUGGUUGACAAAAUAACCAAACAGUGAUGUGAUAUGUCAUGUGUACCUCAUGUUGGCGUACAAUGACCAAUUUUUAACAACAGAAAUAGAUCAAAUUUUUAACA
Molecule: microRNA precursor, 143 nt
Organism: Gossypium arboreum
Lineage: Eukaryota; Viridiplantae; Streptophyta; Magnoliopsida; Malvales; Malvaceae
Rfam family: MIR7502 microRNA precursor family
Source: Rfam